RNAcentral lists this ribosomal RNA (1405 nucleotides) under uncultured bacterium. RNAcentral describes it as "16S ribosomal RNA". It matches the Rfam family "Bacterial small subunit ribosomal RNA". The record is from RNAcentral.
AGAGUUUGAUCCUGGCUCAGGAUGAACGCUAGCGACAGGCUUAACACAUGCAAGUCGAGGGGCAGCGGUGGUGAAGGCUUGCCUUUACCAGCCGGCGACCGGCGCACGGGUGAGUAACACGUAUGCAACCUGCCUGCCACAGCCGGAUAAUCGGGAGAAAUUCCGUCUAAUACGGCAUAAUGCACCUAUGGGACAUCCUGUUGGUGCCAAAGGUUGAUUCCGGUGGCGGAUGGGCAUGCGUCGCAUUAGUUAGUUGGCGGUGUAACGGACCACCAAGACGACGAUGCGUAGGGGUUCUGAGAGGAAGGUCCCCCACACUGGUACUGAGACACGGACCAGACUCCUACGGGAGGCAGCAGUGAGGAAUAUUGGUCAAUGGGCGGGAGCCUGAACCAGCCAAGUCGCGUGAGGGAUGACGGCCCUAUGGGUUGUAAACCUCUUUUGCCGGGGAGCAAAGUGCCGCACGUGUGCGGUUUGGAGAGUACCCGGAGAAAAAGCAUCGGCUAACUCCGUGCCAGCAGCCGCGGUAAUACGGAGGAUGCGAGCGUUAUCCGGAUUUAUUGGGUUUAAAGGGUGCGUAGGCGGACGCUUAAGUCAGCGGUAAAAUUGCGGGGCUCAACCUCGUCGAGCCGUUGAAACUGGGUGCCUUGAGUGGGCGAGAAGUACGCGGAAUGUGUUGUGUAGCGGUGAAAUGCAUAGAUAUCACGCAGAACUCCGAUUGCGAAGGCAGCGUACCGGCGCCCAACUGACGCUGAAGCACGAAGGCGUGGGUAUCGAACAGGAUUAGAUACCCUGGUAGUCCACGCAGUAAACGAUGAAUGCUAGUUGUCCGGGGCGAUUGAGUUCUGGGUGACACAGCGAAAGCGUUAAGCAUUCCACCUGGGGAGUACGCCGGCAACGGUGUAACUCAAAGGAAUUGACGGGGGCCCGCACAAGCGGAGGAACAUGUGGUUUAAUUCGAUGAUACGCGAGGAACCUUACCCGGGCUCAAACGCAGGAGGGAUGUUUUUGAAAGGAGGCAGCCAGCAAUGGUCUCCUGCGAGGUGCUGCAUGGUUGUCGUCAGCUCGUGCCGUGAGGUGUCGGCUUAAGUGCCAUAACGAGCGCAACCCCUACCUACAGUUGCCAUCGCGUGAUGGCGGGCACUCUGUGGGGACUGCCUGCGCAAGCAGUGAGGAAGGCGGGGAUGACGUCAAAUCAGCACGGCCCUUACGUCCGGGGCGACACACGUGUUACAAUGGCAGGUACAGCGGGAAGCCACCCGGCGACGGGGCGCGGAACCCGAAAACCUGUCUCAGUUCGGAUUGGAGUCUGCAACCCGACUCCAUGAAGCUGGAUUCGCUAGUAAUCGCGCAUCAGCCACGGCGCGGUGAAUACGUUCCCGGGCCUUGCACACACCGCCCGUCA